GGUGAACGCUGGCGGCGUGCCUAAUACAUGCAAGUCGAGCGAACAGACGAGGAGCUUGCUCCUCUGACGUUAGCGGCGGACGGGUGAGUAACACGUGGAUAACCUACCUAUAAGACUGGGAUAACUUCGGGAAACCGGAGCUAAUACCGGAUAAUAUAUUGAACCGCAUGGUUCAAUAGUGAAAGACGGUUUUGCUGUCACUUAUAGAUGGAUCCGCGCCGCAUUAGCUAGUUGGUAAGGUAACGGCUUACCAAGGCAACGAUGCGUAGCCGACCUGAGAGGGUGCUCGGCCACACUGGAACUGAGACACGGUCCAGACUCCUACGGGAGGCAGCAGUAGGGAAUCUUCCGCAAUGGGCGAAAGCCUGACGGAGCAACGCCGCGUGAGUGAUGAAGGUCUUCGGAUCGUAAAACUCUGUUAUUAGGGAAGAACAAAUGUGUAAGUAACUAUGCACGUCUUGACGGUACCUAAUCAGAAAGCCACGGCUAACUACGUG
RNAcentral lists this ribosomal RNA (497 nucleotides) under uncultured bacterium. RNAcentral's name for it is "partial 16S ribosomal RNA". It matches the Rfam family "Bacterial small subunit ribosomal RNA", at positions 28 to 507 of the family's 1533-position model. The record is from RNAcentral.